AGCAGCCGCGGUAAUUCCAGCUCCAAUAGCGUAUAUUAAAGUUGUUGCAGUUAAAAAGCUCGUAGUUGAAUUUCGGGAUCAAUCUGCCGGUCGUGCCUCCGGUAUGCACUGGUUUUAUUGGUUUCUCCCUUCUGACGAAUCAUGAUGUCAUUAAUUUGGUGUCAUGGGGAAUCAGGACUGUUACUUUGAAAAAAUUAGAGUGUUUAAAGCAGGCUCACGCUUGAAUACAUUAGCAUGGAAUAAUGAAAUAGGACGUUUGACCCUAUUUUGUUGGUUUCUAGGAUCGACGUAAUGAUUAAUAGGGAUAGUUGGGGGCAUUAGUAUUCAAUUGUCAGAGGUGAAAUUCUUGGAUUUAUUGAAGACUAACUACUGCGAAAGCAUUUGCCAAGGAUGUUUUCAUUAAUCAAGAACGAAAGUUAGGGGAUCGAAGACGAUCAGAUACCGUCGUAGUCUUAACCAUAAACUAUGCCGACUAGGGGAUCAGAUGAUGUUAUUUUUUAAUGACUCAUUCGGCACCUUA
RNAcentral lists this ribosomal RNA (520 nucleotides) under uncultured Glomus. Its description in RNAcentral is "SSU rRNA". It matches the Rfam family "Eukaryotic small subunit ribosomal RNA", at positions 569 to 1090 of the family's 1831-position model. The record is from RNAcentral. Lineage: Eukaryota; Fungi; Glomeromycota; Glomeromycetes; Glomerales; Glomeraceae.